RNAcentral lists this transfer RNA (73 nucleotides) under Ixodes scapularis (black-legged tick). It matches the Rfam family "tRNA". Rfam says of the family: Transfer RNA (tRNA) molecules are approximately 80 nucleotides in length. Their secondary structure includes four short double-helical elements and three loops (D, anti-codon, and T loops). The record is from Rfam by way of RNAcentral. Lineage: Eukaryota; Metazoa; Arthropoda; Arachnida; Ixodida; Ixodidae.
CCCUGAUGAGCUCAGUUGGUAAAGCGCUCCACUGGAAAUGUAGAGGACUCGGGUUCGAUACGCGGAUCAGGCG